This 86-nucleotide transfer RNA is filed under the name Pseudomonas citronellolis. RNAcentral describes it as "tRNA-Ser". Lineage: Bacteria; Pseudomonadati; Pseudomonadota; Gammaproteobacteria; Pseudomonadales; Pseudomonadaceae. RNAcentral also lists the same sequence under 1 other name. The record is from RNAcentral.
GCGCCUGCUGGCCUGGCUGAGCCUGGCGCUGCUGCUGGCGCAGAGCGUGCUGUUCGGCCUGUCGUUCCUCGGCGGCAGCGGGCGCG